AACAGCAGUACCUGUCUGAACAAAUAUCAAACGUUAAAACUUUCAACAAUGGAUCUCUUGGUUCUGGCAUCGAUGAAGAACGCAGCGAAAUGCGAUACGUAGUGUGAAUUGCAGAAUUCAGUGAAUCAUCGAAUCUUUGAACGCACAUUGCGCCCUUUGGCAUUCCUUAGGGCAUGCCUGUUCGAGCGUCAUUU
RNAcentral lists this ribosomal RNA (194 nucleotides) under Sulcosporium thailandicum. RNAcentral describes it as "5.8S ribosomal RNA". The stretch from base 38 to 191 matches the Rfam family "5.8S ribosomal RNA". Rfam says of the family: 5.8S ribosomal RNA (5.8S rRNA) is a component of the large subunit of the eukaryotic ribosome. It is transcribed by RNA polymerase I as part of the 45S precursor that also contains 18S and 28S rRNA. Functionally, it is thought that 5.8S rRNA may be involved in ribosome translocation. The record is from RNAcentral. Lineage: Eukaryota; Fungi; Ascomycota; Dothideomycetes; Pleosporales; Halotthiaceae.